This 543-nucleotide ribosomal RNA is filed under the name Panulirus inflatus. RNAcentral's name for it is "partial 16S ribosomal RNA". It matches the Rfam family "Bacterial large subunit ribosomal RNA", at positions 1808 to 2607 of the family's 2925-position model. Lineage: Eukaryota; Metazoa; Arthropoda; Malacostraca; Decapoda; Palinuridae. The record is from RNAcentral.
CAAAAACAUGUCUUUAUGAUAAUUUAUAUAAAGUCUAGCCUGCCCAGUGAUGUUUAAAUUUAACGGCCGCGGUAGUAUGACCGUGCUAAGGUAGCAUAAUAAUUUGUCCUUUAAUUGGGGACUGGUAUGAACGGUUGAACAAGAAAUUAACUGUCUCUAUUGCAGACUUUGAAUUUUACGUUUAAGUGAAAAGGCUUAAAUGAGAUAGGGGGACGAUAAGACCCUAUAAAUCUUUAUGUUUUAACUAAUAAAUUUUAGGGAUUAGUUAUAUACCUAGUAUUAUUAGUUGAAAUAUUUUGUUGGGGCGACAGGAGUAUAAUAAGUAACUGCUUUGUUUAUAAAAUUAAUUGUUUUUAUUGUGGAAAUUGGUAUGAUCCUCUUUAGAGAAAUCAGACUAAGUUACUUUAGGGAUAACAGCGUAAUCUUUUUUGAGAGUUCAUAUCGAAAAAAUGGUUUGCGACCUCGAUGUUGAAUUAAAGAUCCUUGAUGGCGUAGGGGCUAUUAGGGGAGGUCUGUUCGACCUUUAAAUCUUUACGUGAUCUG